RNAcentral lists this ribosomal RNA (465 nucleotides) under Vreelandella stevensii. RNAcentral describes it as "partial 16S ribosomal RNA". It matches the Rfam family "Bacterial small subunit ribosomal RNA", at positions 338 to 795 of the family's 1533-position model. Lineage: Bacteria; Pseudomonadati; Pseudomonadota; Gammaproteobacteria; Oceanospirillales; Halomonadaceae. The record is from RNAcentral.
CCUACGGGUGGCUGCAGUGGGGAAUAUUGGACAAUGGGCGAAAGCCUGAUCCAGCCAUGCCGCGUGUGUGAAGAAGGCCUUCGGGUUGUAAAGCACUUUCAGUGGGGAAGAAAGCCUUGGGGCUAAUACCCUCGAGGAAGGACAUCACCCACAGAGGAAGCACCGGCUAACUCCGUGCCAGCAGCCGCGGUAAUACAGAGGGUGCGAGCGUUAAUCGGAAUUACUGGGCGUAAAGCGCGCGUAGGCGGUCUGAUAAGCCGGUUGUGAAAGCCCCGGGCUCAACCUGGGAACGGCAUCCGGAACUGUCAGGCUAGAGUGCAGGAGAGGAAGGUAGAAUUCCCGGUGUAGCGGUGAAAUGCGUAGAGAUCGGGAGGAAUACCAGUGGCGAAGGCGGCCUUCUGGACUGACACUGACGCUGAGGUGCGAAAGCGUGGGUAGCAAACAGGAUUAGAUACCCGAGUAGUC